AUGACGGCGCACGGCAGUGGUAGAGUUCCGCGUAGACAGCGAACCGGCAGACGGCGGGUCAACGCAGCUGGAGGGGCGGCUGAGGUCGCAGCCACUGCAGUGGAGGAACAAGGCAGCUCGAGGCGGUGGAGGAGCCCGGAGAUGGGCCGCGGUGCGGAGGACGGUGACGGUUUGGGGGCCGCUAUAGCGCACGCGAUGCGGCGGAAGCAAGCCGGCCUGGCGCGAAGUCGGCCACAACAGAGGAGAACGGCCGUGUCUGAAGACCAACGGAGCAACUCCGCUCGAGGCGGAGGCGAGACGAGCCAGCGUUGGGCGGAGUCCGUGACCUCAUCCCCUUCCAUCGUUGGCUCCACGUGA
This 357-nucleotide ribosomal RNA is filed under the name Triticum aestivum (bread wheat). RNAcentral describes it as "partial small subunit ribosomal RNA". The record is from RNAcentral. Lineage: Eukaryota; Viridiplantae; Streptophyta; Magnoliopsida; Poales; Poaceae.